RNAcentral lists this transfer RNA (74 nucleotides) under Camelus ferus (Wild Bactrian camel). It matches the Rfam family "tRNA". From Rfam's summary of the family: Transfer RNA (tRNA) molecules are approximately 80 nucleotides in length. Their secondary structure includes four short double-helical elements and three loops (D, anti-codon, and T loops). The record is from Rfam by way of RNAcentral. Lineage: Eukaryota; Metazoa; Chordata; Mammalia; Artiodactyla; Camelidae.
GAGGGUAUAGUUCAGUGGUAGAGCACUGUGCUUAGCAUGCACAAGGUCCUGGGGUUCAAUCCCCAGCACCUCCA